GACGAACGCUGGCGGCGUGGAUUAGGCAUGCAAGUCGAACGGUAAACAUUCCUUCGGGAGUGUUGAGAGUGGCGAACGGGUGAGUAACGCGUAGGUGAUCUACCUUCAGAUGGGGGACAACCCAGGGAAACUUGGGCUAAUACCGCAUGUGGCUGUAAAGCUAAAGCCGGCCUCUGCUUGCAAGCUGGUGUCUGGAGAUGAGCCUGCGUCUGAUUAGCUAGUUGGUGGGGUAACGGCCUACCGAGGCGAUGAUAAGUAGGCGGCUUUAACGAGUGGUCGCCCACACUGGGAUUGAGAUACGGCCCAGACUCCUACGGGUGGCAG
This 324-nucleotide ribosomal RNA is filed under the name uncultured Spirochaetota bacterium. Its description in RNAcentral is "bacterial SSU rRNA". It matches the Rfam family "Bacterial small subunit ribosomal RNA", at positions 28 to 351 of the family's 1533-position model. Lineage: Bacteria; Pseudomonadati; Spirochaetota. The record is from RNAcentral.